Molecule: ribosomal RNA, 1243 nt
Filed under: metagenome
Description: bacterial LSU rRNA
Rfam family: Bacterial large subunit ribosomal RNA
Source: RNAcentral
UGAAUACGAGAUGCUACGGCGUCGAAGCAGUCUAUGUCAUACUUCCAAGAAAAGCUCGCACUGUCAUAAACAAAUAAUGCCUGUACCAUAACCGACACAGGUGGGUAGGUAGAGUAUACUAAGGGGCGCGAGAUAACUCUCUCUAAGGAACUCGGCAAAAUGACUCCGUAACUUCGGGAGAAGGAGUGCCUUAUUUAUAAGGUUGCAAUAACAAGAUCCAAGCAACUGUUUAUCAAAAACACAGGUCUCCGCUAAGUCGUAAGACGAUGUAUGGGGGCUGACGCCUGCCCAGUGCCAGAAGGUUAAAGAAGUUGGUUAGCAUUCGCGAAGCUGAUAACUGAAGCCCUGGUGAACGGCGGCCGUAACAAUAACGGUCCUAAGGUAGCGAAAUUCCUUGUCGGGUAAGUUCCGACCCGCACGAAAGGCGUAAUGAUUUGGAUACUGUCUCGGAGAGGGGCUCGGUGAAAUAGACUUGUCUGUGAAGAUGCGGACUACCUGCACCAGGACAGAAAGACCCUAUGAAGCUUUACUGUAACUUGAGAUUGAAAUUGGACUUUACUUGCGCAGUAUAGGUGGGAGGCGUUGAUAAUAUUCUUGCGGGAUUAUUUGAGCCAUCAGUGAGAUACCACUCUUGUAAUGUUAGAUUUCUAACUUUGUAUCAUUAUCUGGUCAAAGGACAGUUUCAGGCGGGCAGUUUGACUGGGGCGGUCGCCUCCUAAACGGUAACGGAGGCGCACAAAGGUUUCCUCUGAACGGGUAGAAAUCGUAUCUAGAGUGUAAAGGCAUAAGGAAGCUUGACUGUGAGACCUACAAGUCGAGCAGGGACGAAAGUCGGUCUUAGUGAUCUGACGGUGCUGAGUGGAAAGGCCGUCACUCAACGGAUAAAAGUUACUCUAGGAUAACAGGCUGAUCUCCCCCAAGAGUUCACAUCGACGGGGAGGUUUGGCACCUUGAUGUCGGCUCAUCGCAUCCUGGGGCGGUAGUACGUCCCAAGGGUUGGGCUGUUCGCCCAUGAAAGCGGUACGCGAGCUGGGUUCAGAACGUCGUGAGACAGUUCGGUCCAUAUCCGGUGUAGGCGUUAGAAUAUUGAGAGGAGCCUUCUUUAGUACGAGAGGACCGAGAAGGACAUACCUCUGGUGUACCAGUUAUCGUGCCAACGGUAAACGCUGGGUAGCUAUGUAUGGAGUGGAUAACCGCUGAAAGCAUCUAAGUGGGAAGCCCACCUCAAGAUAAGUAUUCUCUU